UACAGAGGUCUCAAGCGUUGUUCGGAUUCAUUGGGCGUAAAGCGUGUGUAGGCGGCCAAGCAAGUCGGAUGUGAAAGCCCUGGGCUCAACCCAGGAAGUGCACUCGAUACUGCCUGGCUCGAGUAUCGGAGAGGUUGGUGGAAUUCUCGGUGUAGAGGUGAAAUUCGUAGAUAUCGAGAGGAACACCGGUGGCGAAGGCGGCCAACUGGACGAAUACUGACGCUGAGACACGAAAGCGUGGGGAGCAAACAGG
RNAcentral lists this ribosomal RNA (253 nucleotides) under uncultured bacterium. RNAcentral describes it as "partial 16S ribosomal RNA". It matches the Rfam family "Bacterial small subunit ribosomal RNA", at positions 524 to 776 of the family's 1533-position model. The record is from RNAcentral.